RNAcentral lists this ribosomal RNA (462 nucleotides) under uncultured bacterium. Its description in RNAcentral is "bacterial SSU rRNA". It matches the Rfam family "Bacterial small subunit ribosomal RNA", at positions 8 to 520 of the family's 1533-position model. The record is from RNAcentral.
AGGGUUUGAUCAUGGCUCAGAACGAACGCUGGCGGCAUGCCUAACACAUGCAAGUCGAACGCUAUUUAUAGAGUGGCGCACGGGUGAGUAACGCGUGGGAACCUGCCUUUUUCUGCGGGAUAACGGUUGGAAACGACCGCUAAUACCGCAUACGCCCUACGGGGGAAAGGUCCGCCGGAGAAAGAGGGGCCCGCGUCUGAUUAGCUUGUUGGUAGGGUAAUGGCCUACCAAGGCUACGAUCAGUAGCUGGUCUGAGAGGAUGAUCAGCCACACUGGGACUGAGACACGGCCCAGACUCCUACGGGAGGCAGCAGUGGGGAAUAUUGGACAAUGGGGGCAACCCUGAUCCAGCAAUGCCGCGUGUGUGAUGAAGGCCUUAGGGUUGUAAAGCACUUUCACUGGUGAAGAUGAUGACGGUAACCAGAGAAGAAGCCCCGGCUAACUUCGUGCCAGCAGCCGCGG